GAAAGCCGGAUGAGGGAGAACCUCAUGUCCGGUUUGAUGAGGGGGAGCUGAAAUGAGUAGGCGACCCAAAGGGGUCGCUGCAAAAUUUCAGUUCUCUACUCUAC
This 104-nucleotide non-coding RNA is filed under the name Thermoflavimicrobium dichotomicum. The record is from RNAcentral. Lineage: Bacteria; Bacillati; Bacillota; Bacilli; Caryophanales; Thermoactinomycetaceae.